UAGGGAAUCUUCGGCAAUGGGCGAAAGCCUGACCGAGCAACGCCGCGUGAGUGAUGAAGGUUUUCGGAUUGUAAAGCUCUGUUGUUAGGGAAGAACAAGUACCGUUCGAAUAGGGCGGUACCUUGACGGUACCUAACCAGAAAGCCACGGCUAACUACGUGCCAGCAGCCGCGGUAAUACGUAGGUGGCAAGCGUUGUCCGGAAUUAUUGGGCGUAAAGGGCUCGCAGGCGGUUUCUUAAGUCUGAUGUGAAAGCCCCCGGCUCAACCGGGGAGGGUCAUUGGAAACUGGGGAACUUGAGUGCAGAAGAGGAGAGUGGAAUUCCACGUGUAGCGGUGAAAUGCGUAGAGAUGUGGAGGAACACCAGUGGCGAAGGCGACUCUCUGGUCUGCAACUGACGCUGAGGAGCGAAAGCGUGGGGAGCGAACA
RNAcentral lists this ribosomal RNA (428 nucleotides) under uncultured prokaryote. Its description in RNAcentral is "bacterial SSU rRNA". It matches the Rfam family "Bacterial small subunit ribosomal RNA", at positions 355 to 774 of the family's 1533-position model. The record is from RNAcentral.